UCCAGAGGGUGCGAGCGUUAAUCGGAAUUCCUGGGCGUAAAGAGCGCGUAGGCGGCGCUGUACGACCCGUGUGAAAGCCCCCGGCUCAACUGGGGAGGGUCACGGGUAACGGCAGUGCUCUGAGUGCAGGAGAGGGAAGUGGAACUCCGGGAGUAGCGGUGAAAUGCGUAGAGACCCGGAGGAACACCGGUGGCGAAGGCGGCUUCCUGGUCUGCAACUGACGCUGUGGCGCGAAAGCUAGGGGAGCAAACGGG
Molecule: ribosomal RNA, 254 nt
Filed under: uncultured bacterium
Lineage: Bacteria
Description: partial 16S ribosomal RNA
Rfam family: Bacterial small subunit ribosomal RNA
Source: RNAcentral